This 107-nucleotide transfer RNA is filed under the name Promethearchaeota archaeon. RNAcentral describes it as "Candidatus Lokiarchaeota archaeon (permafrost metagenome) tRNA-Val". It matches the Rfam family "tRNA". From Rfam's summary of the family: Transfer RNA (tRNA) molecules are approximately 80 nucleotides in length. The record is from RNAcentral. Lineage: Archaea; Promethearchaeati; Promethearchaeota.
GCGCGGAUAGUUUAGCCCGGUUAUAACGACUUAUUACAUAUAUAUACAUUGUAAAACGUUAAACGCUCACACCGUGUAGGUCGGGGGUUCGAAUCCCUCUCCGCGCA